This 832-nucleotide ribosomal RNA is filed under the name uncultured bacterium. Its description in RNAcentral is "bacterial SSU rRNA". It matches the Rfam family "Bacterial small subunit ribosomal RNA", at positions 8 to 853 of the family's 1533-position model. The record is from RNAcentral.
AGAGUUUGAUCAUGGCUCAGGACGAACGCUGGCGGCGCGCCUAACACAUGCAAGUCGAACGAGCGAGAGAGAGCUUGCUUUCUCAAGCGAGUGGCGAACGGGUGAGUAACGCGUGAGGAACCUGCCUCAAAGAGGGGGACAACAGUUGGAAACGACUGCUAAUACCGCAUAAGCCCACGACCCGGCAUCGGGUUGAGGGAAAAGGAGCAAUCCGCUUUGGGAUGGCCUCGCGUCCGAUUAGCUAGUUGGUGAGGUAACGGCCCACCAAGGCGACGAUCGGUAGCCGGACUGAGAGGUUGAACGGCCACAUUGGGACUGAGACACGGCCCAGACUCCUACGGGAGGCAGCAGUGGGGAAUAUUGCACAAUGGGGGAAACCCUGAUGCAGCGACGCCGCGUGGAGGAAGAAGGUCUUCGGAUUGUAAACUCCUGUUGUUGAGGAAGAUAAUGACGGUACUCAACAAGGAAGUGACGGCUAACUACGUGCCAGCAGCCGCGGUAAAACGUAGGUCACAAGCGUUGUCCGGAAUUACUGGGUGUAAAGGGAGCGCAGGCGGGAAGACAAGUUGGAAGUGAAAUCUAUGGGCUCAACCCAUAAACUGCUUUCAAAACUGUUUUUCUUGAGUAGUGCAGAGGUAGGCGGAAUUCCCGGUGUAGCGGUGGAAUGCGUAGAUAUCGGGAGGAACACCAGUGGCGAAGGCGGCCUACUGGGCACCAACUGACGCUGAGGCUCGAAAGUGUGGGUAGCAAACAGGAUUAGAUACCCUGGUAGUCCACACCGUAAACGAUGAUUACUAGGUGUUGGAGGAUUGACCCCUUCAGUGCCGCAGUU